Molecule: non-coding RNA, 84 nt
Organism: Candidatus Peregrinibacteria bacterium
Lineage: Bacteria; Candidatus Peregrinibacteriota
Source: Rfam
GCCCGGGUGGCGGAACUGGUAGACGCGCGGGACUCAAAAUCCCGUGAUGGCAACAUCGUGAGGGUUCAAGUCCCUCCUCGGGCA